RNAcentral lists this ribosomal RNA (384 nucleotides) under uncultured eukaryote. RNAcentral's name for it is "SSU rRNA". It matches the Rfam family "Eukaryotic small subunit ribosomal RNA", at positions 587 to 972 of the family's 1831-position model. The record is from RNAcentral.
AGCUCCAAUAGCGUAUAUUAAAGUUGCUGCAGUUAAAAAGCUUGUAGUUGGAUGUGUGGUGUGUCCAGUCGGCCUUUGCUCUGUGAGUGAUAGUGCUUUUACUGGUCUGCCAUGUUUGGGUGGAAUCUGUGUGGCAUUAAGUUGUCAUGCAGGGGAUGCCCAUUGUUUACUGUGAAAAAUUAGAGUGUUCAAAGCAGGCUUAUGCCUCUGAAUAUAUUAGCAUGGAAUAAUGAUAUAGGACCUUGGUACUAUUUUGUUGGUUUGCGCACUGAUGUAAUGAUUAAGAGGGACAGUUGGGGGUAUUUGUAUUCCAUUGUCAGAGGUAAAAUUCUUGGAUUUUUGGAAGACAAACUAAUAUGAAAAUAUUUACCAAGGAUGUUUUCA